This 655-nucleotide ribosomal RNA is filed under the name uncultured bacterium. Its description in RNAcentral is "bacterial SSU rRNA". It matches the Rfam family "Bacterial small subunit ribosomal RNA", at positions 232 to 885 of the family's 1533-position model. The record is from RNAcentral.
CGCGGCCUAUCAGCUUGUUGGUGGGGUGAUGGCCUACCAAGGCGACGACGGGUAGCCGGCCUGAGAGGGUGUCCGGCCACACUGGGACUGAGAUACGGCCCAGACUCCUACGGGAGGCAGCAGUGGGGAAUAUUGCACAAUGGGCGCAAGCCUGAUGCAGCGACGCCGCGUGGGGGAUGACGGCCUUCGGGUUGUAAACCUCUUCCACCAUCGACGAAGGUCCGGGUUUUCUCGGAUUGACGGUAGGUGGAGAAGAAGCACCGGCCAACUACGUGCCAGCAGCCGCGGUAAUACGUAGGGUGCGAGCGUUGUCCGGAAUUACUGGGCGUAAAGAGCUCGUAGGUGGUUUGUCGCGUUGUUCGUGAAAUCUCACGGCUUAACUGUGAGCGUGCGGGCGAUACGGGCAGACUAGAGUACUGCAGGGGAGACUGGAAUUCCUGGUGUAGCGGUGGAAUGCGCAGAUAUCAGGAGGAACACCGGUGGCGAAGGCGGGUCUCUGGGCAGUAACUGACGCUGAGGAGCGAAAGCGUGGGGAGCGAACAGGAUUAGAUACCCUGGUAGUCCACGCCGUAAACGGUGGGUACUAGGUGUGGGUUUCCUUCCUUGGGAUCCGUGCCGUAGCUAACGCAUUAAGUACCCCGCCUGGGGAGUACGG